This 444-nucleotide ribosomal RNA is filed under the name uncultured soil bacterium. RNAcentral's name for it is "bacterial SSU rRNA". It matches the Rfam family "Bacterial small subunit ribosomal RNA", at positions 26 to 518 of the family's 1533-position model. The record is from RNAcentral.
AGAACGAACGCUGGCGGCAUGCCUAAUACAUGCAAGCCGAACGAAGGCUUCGGCCUUAGUGGCGCACGGGUGCGUAACGCGUGGGAAUCUGCCCCUUGGUUCGGAAUAACAGUUGGAAACGACUGCUAAUACCGGAUGAUGACGAAAGUCCAAAGAUUUAUCGCCAAGGGAUGAGCCCGCGUAGGAUUAGCUAGUUGGUGAGGUAAAGGCUCACCAAGGCGACGAUCCUUAGCUGGUCUGAGAGGAUGAUCAGCCACACUGGGACUGAGACACGGCCCAGACUCCUACGGGAGGCAGCAGUAGGGAAUAUUGGACAAUGGGCGAAAGCCUGAUCCAGCAAUGCCGCGUGAGUGAUGAAGGCCUUAGGUUGUAAAGCUCUUUUACCCGAGAUGAUAAUGACAGUAUCGGAGAAUAAGCCCCGGCUAACUCCGUGCCAGCAGCCGC